RNAcentral lists this ribosomal RNA (429 nucleotides) under Gemmatimonadota bacterium. Its description in RNAcentral is "Gemmatimonadetes bacterium partial 16S ribosomal RNA". It matches the Rfam family "Bacterial small subunit ribosomal RNA", at positions 355 to 776 of the family's 1533-position model. Lineage: Bacteria; Pseudomonadati; Gemmatimonadota. The record is from RNAcentral.
UAGGGAAUCUUCGGCAAUGGACGAAAGUCUGACCGAGCAACGCCGCGUGAGUGAAGAAGGUUUUCGGAUCGUAAAACUCUGUUGUUAGAGAAGAACAAGGACGUUAGUAACUGAACGUCCCCUGACGGUAUCUAACCAGAAAGCCACGGCUAACUACGUGCCAGCAGCCGCGGUAAUACGUAGGUGGCAAGCGUUGUCCGGAUUUAUUGGGCGUAAAGCGAGCGCAGGCGGUUUCUUAAGUCUGAUGUGAAAGCCCCCGGCUCAACCGGGGAGGGUCAUUGGAAACUGGGAGACUUGAGUGCAGAAGAGGAGAGUGGAAUUCCAUGUGUAGCGGUGAAAUGCGUAGUUAUAUGGAGGAACACCAGUGGCGAAGGCGGCUCUCUGGUCUGUAACUGACGCGGAGGCUCGAAAGCGUGGGGAGCAAACAGG